This 440-nucleotide ribosomal RNA is filed under the name uncultured bacterium. RNAcentral's name for it is "partial 16S ribosomal RNA". It matches the Rfam family "Bacterial small subunit ribosomal RNA", at positions 338 to 795 of the family's 1533-position model. The record is from RNAcentral.
CCUACGGGUGGCAGCAGUGGGGGAUAUUGCACAAUGGGGGGAACCCUGAUGCAGCGACGCCGCGUGGGUGAAGAAGCGUUUCGGCGCGUAAAGCUCUGUCAGCAGGGAAGAAAAUGACGGUACCUGACGAAGAAGCCCCGGCUAACUACGUGCCAGCAGCCGCGGUAAUACGUAGGGGGCAAGCGUUAUCCGGAUUUACUGGGUGGAAAGGGGGCGUAGACGGCGAAGCAAGCCAGGAGUGAAAGCCGGGGGCCCAACCCCGGGACUGCUCUUGGAACUGCGUGGCUGGAGUGCAGGAGAGGCAAGCGGAAUUCCUAGUGGAGCGGUGAAAUGCGUAGAUAUUAGGAGGAACACCAGUGGCGAAGGCGGCCUGCUGGACUGCAACUGACGUUGAGGCCCGAAAGCGUGGGGAGCAAACAGGAUUAGAUACCCGGGUAGUC